Molecule: ribosomal RNA, 650 nt
Filed under: uncultured archaeon
Lineage: Archaea
Description: bacterial SSU rRNA
Rfam family: Archaeal small subunit ribosomal RNA
Source: RNAcentral
UCCAGGCCCUACGGGGUGCAGCAGGCGCGAAAACUUUACAAUGCUGGGAACAGCGAUAAGGGAACCUCGAGUGCCAGGUUACAAAUCUGGCUGUCGUGAUGCCUAAAAAGCAUUAUAUAGCAAGGGCCGGGCAAGACCGGUGCCAGCCGCCGCGGUAACACCGGCGGCUCGAGUGGUAACCGUUAUUAUUGGGUCUAAAGGGUCUGUAGCCGGCCGGAUAAGUCUCUUGGGAAAUCUGGCAGCUUAACUGUCAGGCUUUCAGGGGAUACUGUCUGGCUCGAGGCCGGGAGAGGUGAGAGGUACUUCAGGGGUAGGGGUGAAAUCUUGUAAUCCUUGAAGGACCACCAGUGGCGAAGGCGUCUCACCAGAACGGACCUGACGGCAAGGGACGAAAGCUAGGGGCACGAACCGGAUUAGAUACCCGGGUAGUCCUAGCCGUAAACGAUACUCGCUAGGUGUCGGCCACGGUGCGACCGUUGUCGGUGCCGUAGGGAAGCCGUGAAGCGAGCCACCUGGGAAGUACGGCCGCAAGGCUGAAACUUAAAGGAAUUGGCGGGGGAGCACAACAACGGGUGGAGCUUGCGGUUUAAUUGGAUUCAACGCCGGAAAUCUUACCGGGACCGACAGCAACAGAAGGCCAAGCGAGAGCG